Molecule: ribosomal RNA, 501 nt
Filed under: uncultured Bacillota bacterium
Lineage: Bacteria; Bacillati; Bacillota
Description: bacterial SSU rRNA
Rfam family: Bacterial small subunit ribosomal RNA
Source: RNAcentral
UAGGGAAUCUUCCGCAAUGGACGAAAGUCUGACGGAGCAACGCCGCGUGAGCGAAGAAGGCCUUCGGGUCGUAAAGCUCUGUUGUUAGGGAAGAACAAGUACGAGAGUAACUGCUCGUACCUUGACGGUACCUAACCAGAAAGCCACGGCUAACUACGUGCCAGCAGCCGCGGUAAUACGUAGGUGGCAAGCGUUGUCCGGAAUUAUUGGGCGUAAAGCGCGCGCAGGCGGUCCUUUAAGUCUGAUGUGAAAGCCCACGGCUCAACCGUGGAGGGUCAUUGGAAACUGGGGGACUUGAGUGCAGAAGAGGAGAGUGGAAUUCCACGUGUAGCGGUGAAAUGCGUAGAGAUGUGGAGGAACACCAGUGGCGAAGGCGACUCUCUGGUCUGUAACUGACGCUGAGGCGCGAAAGCGUGGGGAGCAAACAGGAUUAGAUACCCUGGUAGUCCACGCCGUAAACGAUGAGUGCUAAGUGUUAGAGGGUUUCGCCCUUUAGUGCUG